CGGACGGGUGAGGAAUACAUCGGAAUCUACCUUGUCGUGGGGGAUAACGUAGGGAAACUUACGCUAAUACCGCAUACGAACCAUGGUUGAAAGCGGCGGACCGGCAAGGCGUCGCGCGAUUGGAUGAGCCGAUGUCCGAUUAGCUAGUUGGCGGGGUAAAGGCCCACCAAGGCGACGAUCGGUAGCUGGUCUGAGAGGAUGAUCAGCCACACUGGAACUGAGACACGGUCCAG
This 233-nucleotide ribosomal RNA is filed under the name uncultured bacterium. Its description in RNAcentral is "partial 16S ribosomal RNA". It matches the Rfam family "Bacterial small subunit ribosomal RNA", at positions 99 to 334 of the family's 1533-position model. The record is from RNAcentral.